This 432-nucleotide unclassified non-coding RNA is filed under the name soil metagenome. RNAcentral's name for it is "partial contains 5.8S ribosomal RNA, internal transcribed spacer 2, and large subunit ribosomal RNA". The stretch from base 1 to 120 matches the Rfam family "5.8S ribosomal RNA", at positions 35 to 154 of the family's 154-position model. The record is from RNAcentral.
GAUGAAGAACGUAGCGAAAUGCGAUACGUAAUGUGAAUUGCAGAAUUCAGUGAAUCAUCGAAUCUUUGAACGCAUAUUGCGCUCUCUGGUAUUCCGGAGAGCAUGCUUGUUUGAGUAUCAGUAAACACCUCAACUUCCAUAUCUUUUUUGAAAUGGGAGUUGGACUUGAGUGAUCCCAACGCUUUUCCUCACCGAAAAGUGGCGGGUUACUUGAAAUGCAGGUGCAGCUGGACUUUUCUCUGAGCUAUAAGCAUAUCUAUUUAGUCUGCCUAAAAAACAGAUUAUUACCUUUGCUGCAGCUAACAUAAAGGAGAUUAGUUCUUGUGCUGACUGAUGCAGGAUUCACAAAGACAGCUUCGGCCGACUUUGUAAACUCGACCUCAAAUCAAGUAAGACUACCCGCUGAACUUAAGCAUAUCAAUAAGCGGAGGA